UAGUGCAACCCGGAGAAAAAUGAUCUCAAUUUAACCACAAACCAAGAAUAAUGCAGCCAGAAUUACUGCUGCCUUCCCAGAGUUACUUUGCCAAUGCAAUUAAACGCUGGUCUGCAGGUUUCACCUUCUGUGACAGGAUGAGAGAUUAUUUCACUCUCCUUGCUAAAUCAGCCCAAU
Molecule: small RNA, 177 nt
Filed under: Sus scrofa (pig)
Lineage: Eukaryota; Metazoa; Chordata; Mammalia; Artiodactyla; Suidae
Description: TUC338 (ENSSSCG00070015128.1)
Source: RNAcentral